Molecule: ribosomal RNA, 624 nt
Filed under: uncultured bacterium
Lineage: Bacteria
Description: bacterial SSU rRNA
Rfam family: Bacterial small subunit ribosomal RNA
Source: RNAcentral
CCUUCCGUACACUCAGGGAUAGCCUUUCGAAAGAAAGAUUAAUACCUGAUGGUAUGAUGAGAUUGCAUGAUAGCAUCAUUAAAGAUUUAUCGGUGUACGAUGGGGAUGCGUUCCAUUAGGUAGUAGGCGGGGUAACGGCCCACCUAGCCAACGAUGGAUAGGGGUUCUGAGAGGAAGGUCCCCCACAUUGGAACUGAGACACGGUCCAAACUCCUACGGGAGGCAGCAGUGAGGAAUAUUGGUCAAUGGACGAGAGUCUGAACCAGCCAAGUAGCGUGAAGGAUGAAGGUCCUACGGAUUGUAAACUUCUUUUAUAAGGGAAUAAACCCUCCCACGUGUGGGAGCUUGUAUGUACCUUAUGAAUAAGCAUCGGCUAACUCCGUGCCAGCAGCCGCGGUAAUACGGAGGAUGCGAGCGUUAUCCGGAUUUAUUGGGUUUAAAGGGAGCGCAGACGGGUCGUUAAGUCAGCUGUGAAAGUUUGGGGCUCAACCUUAAAAUUGCAGUUGAUACUGGCGUCCUUGAGUGCGGUUGAGGUGUGCGGAAUUCGUGGUGUAGCGGUGAAAUGCUUAGAUAUCACGAAGAACUCCGAUUGCGAAGGCAGCACACUAAUCCGUAACUGACGUU